RNAcentral lists this ribosomal RNA (477 nucleotides) under uncultured bacterium. Its description in RNAcentral is "partial 16S ribosomal RNA". It matches the Rfam family "Bacterial small subunit ribosomal RNA", at positions 28 to 523 of the family's 1533-position model. The record is from RNAcentral.
GACGAACGCUGGCGGCAUGCCUAACACAUGCAAGUCGAACGGUAAGGCUUCCUUCGGGAAGUACACGAGUGGCGAACGGGUGAGUAACACGUAGGUAACCUACUCUUGCCUGGGGGACAACCGAGGGAAACUUCGGCUAAUACCGCAUAACGUGCAUUGCCUCAAGGUGGUGUACCAAAGCUACGGCGGUUAAGGAUGGGCCCGCGGCAGAUUAGCUAGUUGGUGAGGUAACGGCUUACCAAGGCGACGCUCUGUAGCUGGUCUGAUAGGACGAGCAGCCAAACUGGAAGUGAGGCACGGUCCAGGCACAUUCGGGAGGAAGCAGUGGAGAAUUUUGGGCAAUGGGCGAAAGGCUGACGCAGCAAUGCCGCGUGAGGGAAGACGGCCUUAGGGUUGUAGACCUCAUUCAGCAGGGACGAGCACAGACGGUACCUGCAGAAGAAGCCCCGGCUAACUACGUGCCAGCAGCCGCCGUAA